GGGGGCAUAGCUCAGUGGUAGAGCACCCGCAUACGUAUCGGAAGGUCGGGGGUUCGACUCCCUCUGCCUCCA
This 72-nucleotide transfer RNA is filed under the name Pristionchus pacificus. It matches the Rfam family "tRNA". Rfam says of the family: Transfer RNA (tRNA) molecules are approximately 80 nucleotides in length. Their secondary structure includes four short double-helical elements and three loops (D, anti-codon, and T loops). Further hydrogen bonds mediate the characteristic L-shaped molecular structure. tRNAs have two regions of fundamental functional importance: the anti-codon, which is responsible for specific mRNA codon recognition, and the 3' end, to which the tRNAs corresponding amino acid is attached (by aminoacyl-tRNA synthetases). tRNAs cope with the degeneracy of the genetic code in two manners: having more than one tRNA (with a specific anti-codon) for a particular amino acid; and 'wobble' base-pairing, i.e. permitting non-standard base-pairing at the 3rd anti-codon position. Lineage: Eukaryota; Metazoa; Nematoda; Chromadorea; Rhabditida; Neodiplogasteridae. The record is from Rfam by way of RNAcentral.